Molecule: ribosomal RNA, 253 nt
Filed under: uncultured bacterium
Lineage: Bacteria
Description: partial 16S ribosomal RNA
Rfam family: Bacterial small subunit ribosomal RNA
Source: RNAcentral
UACGUAGGGACCAAGCGUUGUUCGGAAUUACUGGGCGUAAAGGGCGCGUAGGCGGCCUACUAAGUCGGACGUGAAAUCCCUCGGCUUAACCGGGGAACUGCGUCCGAUACUGGUUGGCUUGAGUUUGGGAGAGGGAUGCGGAAUUCCAGGUGUAGCGGUGAAAUGCGUAGAUAUCUGGAGGAACACCGGUGGCGAAGGCGGCAUCCUGGACCAAUACUGACGCUGAGGAGCGAAAGCCAGGGGAGCAAACGGG